RNA transcript from Biomphalaria glabrata, 1242 nucleotides. It is a transcript of the gene named multiple epidermal growth factor-like domains protein 10, with no coding region annotated. The record is from RefSeq and is a predicted model, not a curated record. The transcript has 8 exons. Lineage: Eukaryota; Metazoa; Mollusca; Gastropoda; Planorbidae.
AAAAUGUGCACUAAUAAUUUAGACUAAAUGUGCAACGACAAAAUGUGUUUGCGCAGAUGAUAGUGUAGAAGCAUAGCUUUAAAUGCAUAAAACAUUUUUUAUAAUUAGGCCUACCCAAAAUAUAUUAUUUAUAUAUUCUGUUCAGCCAUGUUUACUAGCAAAACUUCCGGACUGAGGAACAUCGAAGUAAGGGUGGUCACUCUGAAAUUAACCCAUAAAUUAUAGCACUUUAGUGUUACUUCCCUUGAUAUGCCAUUUUGAAGAUAUCUUUUUACAAACAGCAAAAGUUAUUGAUAGCAUGAAAUUCUUUAAAAUUGUGUUAUUCGCUCUUACUUGUACAUUUAUUACUUCAUACGCAGCUUAUGACUGUGCUCUUGGGCUGUGGGGAAGCCAGUGCAGCAAUGACUGUGGAAAUUGCGAGGGAGGAAAGGCAUUUUGUCAGGUGACUAAUGGACUGUGCGUCAACGGCUGCGCCAGAGGAUACCAAGGAAGAGACUGCAAGACACCGUGCCCACCCGGAACACAUGGCCAGUACUGUGUUUACAAAUGUGGCUCCUGCUCCGAUGUGAGACCAGUAUGUGAUCCUGUCAGUGGAAUGUGCCAAGCCGGAUGCAAGACAGGAUUCCAGAAGCCACAUUGCAAAUUGGCGUGCCCAUUCUACACAUGGGGAGAUGAUUGCAGUAAUAAUUGUAGUUGUAAAAAGCCGCCCAUUGAGUGCAGUUGUCAUCCUGAAACUGGACAGUGCGAACCUUGUGGUCCCAAUCAGAAAUCUUUGCGUUUCUCUAUGCCAGUGAACAACCCAGAAUGCCUUAAUCAAUUUGCUCUAGACGAAGCUGUCAAGUUCUACACUCCGCCCUCAGUGUUGAACAUCCCAUGGAAACCUGUGGCAGCCAUCUUCCUAUUACUUAUCCUCUUCAUCUUCACCUAUUAUAUUUACUGGUCAGUACAUAAAAUCUCAUCACCUAUUAUAUUUACUGGUGGAAGUACAUUAGGCAAGUUCCAAUAGAUGAGGAGACAAAGGAAAUAGCGAGAGAGAAGAAACGUCAGAGGAUUCGUCAAAAACAGCUUCGGUUUUAUGCAAAGCACGCCAAAGAAAACAUGGCAAAAUAUAGGACAGCUGACUGGGAAAAUAAGCCACCGGUUGAGAGGGAAUCUUAUGAACAAAUCUACUUCUAAUAUCAGUGCACUAAUUUAUAUCUUUGUUCGUGUGUAAUUCUUUAUAAAUGCUAUAUAAAUAGAAAG